Molecule: ribosomal RNA, 820 nt
Filed under: Juniperus virginiana
Lineage: Eukaryota; Viridiplantae; Streptophyta; Pinopsida; Cupressales; Cupressaceae
Description: SSU rRNA
Rfam family: Bacterial small subunit ribosomal RNA
Source: RNAcentral
GGGCCCGACUCAUAUGAUGUUUAGGAAGGCCCCCGGGAGUGCCCCCACAUUAUAGCGAUGGGAGAAGCAUCGCCCCCACCCCCCGACGGGCGUUUAGAGGAUAGGCCUUUGCCUCCUCCUCCCACCCAACUAUAUCCACAUGCAGGGUGGGGGGGAGUCCCUACUAUUCUAUGGUAGCGGGGUAGGGGCUAUAGUAGUUGGGAGAGCAGUGAGCCCCGCCUAAAAUUUUAUGGGCGAACCACCCGAUCUGAGUUCAGAGAAAUGUCACCAGCAGCUCGCUUAGCCCUAUCCACCGUCAUUCUAGCAGGCGUCAUUAAUGAAGGGUGGGGGACAGGACCGGGUUAGCGAUUGAUGACACUCCAACCAACCGUACCACUCAGUGCUGCACUCACAAGAGACUGCCAGUGAUAUGCUGGAGGAAGGUGGGGAUGACGUCAAGUCCGCAUGGCCCUUAUGGGCUGGGCCACACACGUGCUACAAUGGCAAUGACAAUGGUGCAGAAGGCCGUAAGGCGGAGCAAAUCCAGAAAGGUUGCCGUAAGUUCGGAUUGUUCUCUGCAACUCGAGAACAUGAAGUUGGAAUCGCUAGUAAUCGCGGAUCAGCAUGCCGCGGUGAAUAUGUACCCGGGCCCUGUACACACCGCCCGUCACACCCUGGGAAUUGGUUUCGCCCGAAGCAUCGGACCAAGAAUCACCAAUCCCAAUCCUGCACCCCCACCACUAUAGUAGCGGUAGGGGUGGCCCUACCCCUACUAAGAUAGUUGGAUAGUUGGUUUGGUCCUAUUGGCGCAUACCACGGUGGGGUCUUCGACUGGGGUGAA